This 180-nucleotide ribosomal RNA is filed under the name uncultured Glomeromycotina. Its description in RNAcentral is "partial small subunit ribosomal RNA". Lineage: Eukaryota; Fungi; Glomeromycota. The record is from RNAcentral.
GGAUUGGGAUAUAUCGGUCGUGCCUUUAGGGGCAUGAAUUGGUGUAUGGUCAAUUCUCACCUUCUGGUGAAUUGGAAUGCUCUCGGGUGUUUCGAUGAACUAGGACAUUUUCUUUGAAAAAAUUAGAGUGUUUAAAGCGGGCAUUUUUGCUUGAAUACAUUAGCAUGGAAUAAUAAAAUA